GGAAUGAUGAUGCUGCCAUGCCCGCGGAUCUGUUGUGCGGUAGGAGAUUAAGCUGCUGAUCUAACGGAGAAAUUUGAUUGGAACAGUAAAGUGGAAGGUUAAUUAGUCCUUGAUUUUGAUUGAUGGUCUCACUUAUGGUCUCUGGUACUGAAGCACACGGUUUUACACAUGCAUUAGCUGAUGUUCGCCAAAUUAAGGCAUAUGUUUGUGUAGGGAGCUCUGAAUGUUAUUUGGAUAGCUGCAGGAGUCAAGUGCCGUUGUAUAUGCAUAUUCAUUGUUAUGACUUGCCUCUCAAAUACCUCGGUUUCAUUUGUUCUAUGAUUGGUUCAGUUUUUUCAUUACUUGAGACGGCAGUUUAGGUUGGAACAUAUAGUGAUGUGGUUUGAGUUGAUGUUGUAUCGAGUCGGGGUGGGCAUAGUAGCCAAGAACCAAUGUACUCCCUCC
RNAcentral lists this long non-coding RNA (444 nucleotides) under Hordeum vulgare. Its description in RNAcentral is "long non-coding RNA (HVUL_LNC019552)". Lineage: Eukaryota; Viridiplantae; Streptophyta; Magnoliopsida; Poales; Poaceae. The record is from RNAcentral.